Molecule: ribosomal RNA, 241 nt
Filed under: uncultured bacterium
Lineage: Bacteria
Description: partial 16S ribosomal RNA
Rfam family: Bacterial small subunit ribosomal RNA
Source: RNAcentral
GAUCCUGGCUCAGAUUGAACGCUGGCGGCAGGCCUAACACAUGCAAGUCGAACGGUAACAGGAAGCAGCUUGCUGCUUUGCUGACGAGUGGCGGACGGGUGAGUAAUGUCUGGGAAACUGCCUGAUGGAGGGGGAUAACUACUGGAAACGGUAGCUAAUACCGCAUAACGUCGCAAGACCAAAGAGGGGGGACCUUCGGGCCGUCUUGCCAUCGGAUGUGCCCACGAUGGGAGUUAGCUAG